UACGUAGGGAGCAAGCGUUGUUCGGAUUUACUGGGCGUAAAGGGCGCGUAGGCGGCGCGGUAAGUCACUUGUGAAAUCUCUGAGCUUAACUCAGAACGGCCAAGUGAUACUGCAGUGCUAGAGUGCAGAAGGGGCAAUCGGAAUUCUUGGUGUAGCGGUGAAAUGCGUAGAUAUCAGGUGGAAUACCGGAGGCGAAGGCGGCUUACUGGCCAGACACUGACACUCAGAUCCGAAAGCGUGGGGAUCAAACAGG
This 253-nucleotide ribosomal RNA is filed under the name uncultured bacterium. Its description in RNAcentral is "partial 16S ribosomal RNA". It matches the Rfam family "Bacterial small subunit ribosomal RNA", at positions 524 to 776 of the family's 1533-position model. The record is from RNAcentral.